Molecule: unclassified non-coding RNA, 230 nt
Filed under: Articulospora sp.
Lineage: Eukaryota; Fungi; Ascomycota; Leotiomycetes; Helotiales; Discinellaceae
Description: partial contains small subunit ribosomal RNA, internal transcribed spacer 1, and 5.8S ribosomal RNA
Rfam family: Eukaryotic small subunit ribosomal RNA (bases 1-46)
Source: RNAcentral
AAGUCGUAACAAGGUUUCCGUAGGUGAACCUGCGGAAGGAUCAUUACAGAGUUCAUGCCCUAACGGGUAGAUCUCCCACCCUUGAAUACUAUACCUUAGUUGCUUUGGCAGGCCGUGGAAACACCACGGGCUCCGGCCUGUGCGUGCCUGCCAGAAACAAACUCUGUUUUUAGUGAUGUCUGAGUACUAUAUAAUAGUUAAAACUUUCAACAACGGAUCUCUUGGCUCUC